RNAcentral lists this unclassified non-coding RNA (347 nucleotides) under soil metagenome. RNAcentral describes it as "partial contains 5.8S ribosomal RNA, internal transcribed spacer 2, and large subunit ribosomal RNA". The stretch from base 1 to 120 matches the Rfam family "5.8S ribosomal RNA", at positions 35 to 154 of the family's 154-position model. The record is from RNAcentral.
GAUGAAGAACGCAGCGAAAUGCGAUAAGUAAUGUGAAUUGCAGAAUUCAGUGAAUCAUCGAAUCUUUGAACGCACAUUGCGCCCGCCAGUAUUCUGGCGGGCAUGCCUGUCCGAGCGUCAUUUCAACCCUCGAACCCCUCCGGGGGGUCGGCGUUGGGGAUCGGCACUUACCUGCCGGCCCCGAAAUACAGUGGCGGUCUCGCCGCAGCCUCUCCUGCGCAGUAGUUUGCACACUCGCACCGGGAGCGCGGCGCGUCCACGGCCGUAAAACAACCCAAACUUCUGAAAUGUUGACCUCGGAUCAGGUAGGAAUACCCGCUGAACUUAAGCAUAUCAAAAGCGGAGGA